Long non-coding RNA from Astatotilapia calliptera (eastern happy), 2341 nucleotides. The record is from Ensembl. NCBI's taxonomy places the organism in Eukaryota, Metazoa, Chordata, Actinopteri, Cichliformes, Cichlidae.
GCGACCAAUAUAGCCACCUUUCUUUGCAAGGACACUCAAAAGCCUGCCAUCCAUGGAUUCUGUCAGUGUUUUGAUCUGUUCACCAUCAACAUUGCGUGCAGCAGCAACCACAGCCUCCCAGACACUGUUCAGAGAGGUGUACUGUUUUCCCUCCUUGUAAAUCUCACAUUUGAUGAUGGACCACAGGUUCUCAAUGGGGUUCAGAUCAGGUGAACAAGGAGGCCAUGUCAUUAGUUUUUCUUCUUUUAUACCCUUUCUUGCCAGCAAUGCUGUGGAGUACUUGGACGCGUGUGAUGGAGCAUUGUCCUGCAUGAAAAUCAUGUUUUUCUUGAAGGAUGCAGACUUCUUCCACUGCUUGAAGAAGGUGUCUUCCAGAAACUGGCAGUAGGACUGAGGGUUGAGCUUGACUCCAUCCUCAACCCGAAAAGGCCCCACAAGCUCAUCUUUGAUGAUACCAGCCCAAACCUGUACUCCACCUCCACCUUGCUGGCGUCUGAGUCGGACUGGAGCUCUCUGCCCUUUACCAAUCCAGCCACGGGCCCAUCCAUCUGGCCCAUCAAGACUCACUCUCAUUUCAUCAGUCCAUAAAACCUUAGAAAAAUCAGUCUUGAGAUAUUUCUUGGCCCAGUCUUGACGUUUCAGCUUGUGUGUCUUGUUCAGUGGUGGUCGUCUUUCAGCCUUUCUUACCUUGGCCAUGUCUCUGAGUAUUGCACACCUUGUGCUUUUGGGCUCUCCAGUGAUGUUGCAGCUCUGAAAUAUGGCCAAACUGGUGGCAAGUGGCAUCUUGGCAGCUGCACGCUUGACUUUUCUCAGUUCAUGGGCAGUUCUUUUGCUCCUUGGUUUUUCCACACGCUUCUUGCGACCCUGUUGACUAUUUUGAAUGAAACGCUUGAUUGUUCGAUGAUCACGCUUCAGAAACUUUGCAAUUUUGAGACUGCUGCAUCCCUCUGCAAGAUAUCUCACUAUUUUUGACUUUUCUGAGCCUGUCAAGUCCUUAUUUUGACCCAUUUUGCCAAAGGAAAAGAAGUUGCCUAAUAAUUAUGCACACCUGAUAUAGGGUGUUGAUGUCAUUAGACCACACCCCUUCUCAUUACAGAGAUGCACAUCACCUAAUAUGCUUAAUUGGUAGUAGGCUUUCGAGCCUAUACAGCUUGGAGUAAGACAACAUGCAUGAAGAGGAUGAUGUGGACAAAAUACUCAUUUGCCUAAUAAUUCUGCACUCCCUGUAUGUGUUUUCACAAUGUACGGUAUGUAGUAUGUGUACUAUAGAAAAAAACAAGGGUAACUACAGCUAUUUAUGCUUAUUUAUGUACUUUGCGUUUGUCGUUGGUGUUCUGCAUUUUGGUGAUGUGGCUAAGGUUGAACAGGCACGAGGCUGGUUGUUUUGUUAUUUUAUAUGAAUUUCCUGUGGUUUGUGCAACUUUCUCAUGCUAAACAAGAACAUCUGCCAGCAGUUUAUUUACACUUUAUUUGCACCACGCCAAGGGUGUGUUUCAGAAAGACUGUGAAAGCAGGUUUGUGGUGCUCCAUUUAAACUCCUCAUUCAUUUAGUGACUGGCAAAUCUCAUAUCAGAGCAUACUAACUUGUUAAAAUGAAUGUCUUUACAAACACUGAAGAAGCUUUUACAAUCAGUCUGCCAUCAGUAGACACUGUGGCUUUAUUAUCAGCUCAGAACAAAAUGUAUGCAUCUUUCUCAUGUUGUGACUUUGUGGUCUGUAAAGCAGCUGUCAGCAUUUUGUGAAAUAUUUGUUGUAGAAAUCACUAUUUAGGUAAAAGUAACCUGUGUGAGUGUUCAAACAUGUGAAACUCUGGUAAAUCAUUAGUCAGUUAUUAUAUUGCAGUGACUCAUAUUGAUGUUGGAGAUAAUGUAAAUAUAUGAGUGAAGAUGAGUGUGCUAAAAUCAUUAAGAUUCUAAAACUGGAAUAAAUUGAGCUUAAAGCGACCGUCAACAAAUUUAUCAGUGGAGCAGACCUCAGGGCAUCCUGUGAUUGGUUUUGCUUGGUGGUAAAAUGUAGAAAUCUUGUACACCUUUUGCACAGAGUGGCAACUUUCUCAUACUCACAUGUCUGAGAUACCAGCAAACUCUUGUUGCACUAUUCAGUUACCAGUGCAAUAAGAGUUUUUUGGGGAAGGAAAUGUUGACUUUUAUUUAGAUUUACUUCAAACUCUGUAGUUUCUCAUGAACAUUAUCUAAUCUCACUUAGUGUGUGUGUGUGUGUGUGUGUGUGCGUGCAUAGUUUCAUUGUUGAAGUGAGAAUGCUGGGGCUUGCUUUUUGUGUUUUUGGUAUCUGUUUUUAUAUGUGACAUGACUUCAACUCAAGAAAUAAAGCAUUAAAAAAU